GACGAACGCUGGCGGCGUGCUUAACACGUGCAAGUCGAACGGAAAGGCCCUGCUUUUGUGGGGUGCUCGAGUGGCGAACGGGUGAGUAACACGUGAGUAACCUGCCCUUGACUUUGGGAUAACUUCAGGAAACUGGGGCUAAUACCGGAUAGGAGCUCCUGCUGCAUGGUGGGGGUUGGAAAGUUUCGGCGGUUGGGGAUGGACUCGCGGCUUAUCAGCUUGCUGGUGGGGUAGUGGCUUACCAAGGCUUUGACGGGUAGCCGGCCUGAGAGGGUGACCGGCCACAUUGGGACUGAGAUACGGCCCAGACUCCUACGGGAGGCAGCAGUGGAGAAUAUUGCACAAUGGGCGGAAGCCUGAUGCAGCAACGCCGCGUGCGGGAUGACGGCCUUCGGGUUGUAAACCGCUUUCGCCUGUGACGAAGCGUGAGUGACGGUAAUGGGUAAAGAAGCACCGGCUAACUACGUGCCAGCAGCCGCGGUGAUACGUAGGGUGCGAGCGUUGUCCGGAUUUAUUGGGCGUAAAGGGCUCGUAGGUGGUUGAUCGCGUCGGAAGUGUAAUCUUGGGGCUUAACCCUGAGCGUGCUUUCGAUACGGGUUGACUUGAGGAAGGUAGGGGAGAAUGGAAUUCCUGGUGGAGCGGUGGAAUGCGCAGAUAUCAGGAGGAACACCAGUGGCGAAGGCGGUUCUCUGGGCCUUUCCUGACGCUGAGGAGCGAAAGCGUGGGGAGCGAACAGGCUUAGAUACCCUGGUAGUCCACGCUGUAAACGGUGGGUACUAGGUGUGGGGUCCAUUCCACGGGUUCCGUGCCGUAGCUAACGCUUUAAGUACCCCGCCUGGGGAGUACGGCCGCAAGGCUAAAACUCAAAGGAAUUGACGGGGCCCCGCACAAGCGGCGGAGCAUGCGGACUAAUUCGAUGCAACGCGUAGAACCUUACCUGGGUUUGACAUGGAUCGGGAGCGCUCAGAGAUGGGUGUGCCUCUUUUGGGGUCGGUUCACAGGUGGUGCAUGGCUGUCGUCAGCUCGUGUCGUGAGAUGUUGGGUUAAGUCCCGCAACGAGCGCAACCCUUGUUCACUGUUGCCAGCACGUUAUGGUGGGGACUCAGUGGAGACCGCCGGGGUCAACUCGGAGGAAGGUGGGGAUGACGUCAAGUCAUCAUGCCCCUUAUGUCCAGGGCUUCACGCAUGCUACAAUGGCUGGUACAGAGAGUGGCGAGCCUGUGAGGGUGAGCGAAUCUCGGAAAGCCGGUCUCAGUUCGGAUUGGGGUCUGCAACUCGACCUCAUGAAGUCGGAGUCGCUAGUAAUCGCAGAUCAGCAACGCUGCGGUGAAUACGUUCCCGGGGCU
RNAcentral lists this ribosomal RNA (1346 nucleotides) under uncultured bacterium. RNAcentral's name for it is "bacterial SSU rRNA". It matches the Rfam family "Bacterial small subunit ribosomal RNA", at positions 28 to 1381 of the family's 1533-position model. The record is from RNAcentral.